UUGAAAGGAGGUGAUCCAGCCAUACCGCGUGUGUGAAGAAGGCCUUCGGGUUGUAAAGCACUUUAAGCAGGGAGAAAAAGUUAUAAGUUAAUACCUUAUAACCCUGAUGUUACCUGCAGAAUAAGCACCGGCUAAUUCCGUGCCAGCAGCCGCGGUAAUACGGAAGGUGCAAGCGUUAAUCGGAAUUACUGGGCGUAAAGCGCGCGUAGGUGGUUUGUUAAGUUGGAUGUGAAAGCCCUGGGCUCAACCUAGGAACUGCAUCCAAAACUAACUCACUAGAGUACGAUAGAGGGAGGUAGAGUUCAUAGUGUAGCGGUGGAAUGCGUAGAUAUUAUGAAGAAUACCAGUGGCGAAGGCGGCCUCCUGGAUCUGUACUGACACUGAGGUGCGAAAACGUGGGUAGCGAACAGGAUUAGAUACCCUGGUAGUCCACGCCGUAAACGAUGACAACUAGCUGUUGGGAGACUAUGUCUUUCAGUGGCGCAGCUAACGCUUUAAGUUGUCCGCCUGGGGAGUACGGCCGCAAGGCUAAAACUCAAAUGAAUUGACGGGGACCCGCACAAGCGGUGGAGCAUGUGGUUUAAUUCGAUGCAACGCGAAAAACCUUACCUACUCUUGACAUACUUGGGAGCUCUUGUAAUGAGAGUGUGCCUUAUGGAACCAAGAUACAGGUGCUGCAUGGCUGUCGUCAGCUCGUGUCGUGAGAUGUUCCGUUAAGUCGGAUAACGAGCGCAACCCUUACCCUUAUUUGCCAGCGAUUCGGUCGGGAACUAUAAGGGGACUGCCGGUGAUAAACCGGAGGAAGGUGAGGACGACGUCAAGUCAUCAUGGCCCUUACGAGUAGGGCUACACACGUGCUACAAUGGGGAAUGCAGACGGACGCUAAGCCGCGAGGUGGUGCUAAUCCUAGAAAGUUUCUCGUAGUCCGGAUUGGAGUCUGCAACUCGACUCCAUGAAGUCGGAAUCGCUAGUAAUCGCGGAUCA
RNAcentral lists this ribosomal RNA (984 nucleotides) under uncultured SAR86 cluster bacterium. RNAcentral describes it as "bacterial SSU rRNA". It matches the Rfam family "Bacterial small subunit ribosomal RNA", at positions 375 to 1351 of the family's 1533-position model. Lineage: Bacteria; Pseudomonadati; Pseudomonadota; Gammaproteobacteria. The record is from RNAcentral.